RNAcentral lists this ribosomal RNA (1544 nucleotides) under Enterococcus faecalis. Its description in RNAcentral is "partial 23S ribosomal RNA". It matches the Rfam family "Bacterial large subunit ribosomal RNA", at positions 1 to 1547 of the family's 2925-position model. The record is from RNAcentral. Lineage: Bacteria; Bacillati; Bacillota; Bacilli; Lactobacillales; Enterococcaceae.
GGUUAAGUGAAUAAGGGCGCACGGUGGAUGCCUUGGCACUAGGAGCCGAUGAAGGACGGGACUAACACCGAUAUGCUUUGGGGAGCUGUAAGUAAGCUAUGAUCCAGAGAUUUCCGAAUGGGGGAACCCAAUAUCUUUUAUAGGAUAUUACUUUUCAGUGAAUACAUAGCUGAUUAGAGGUAGACGCAGAGAACUGAAACAUCUUAGUACCUGCAGGAAGAGAAAGAAAAUUCGAUUCCCUGAGUAGCGGCGAGCGAAACGGGAAGAGCCCAAACCAACAAGCUUGCUUGUUGGGGUUGUAGGACUCCAAUAUGGUAGUCUGUUAGUAUAGUUGAAGGAUUUGGAAAAUUCCGCUAAAGAGGGUGAAAGCCCCGUAGACGAAAUGCUGACAACACCUAGGAGGAUCCUGAGUACGGCGGAACACGAGAAAUUCCGUCGGAAUCCGCGGGGACCAUCCCGCAAGGCUAAAUACUCCCUAGUGACCGAUAGUGAACCAGUACCGUGAGGGAAAGGUGAAAAGCACCCCGGAAGGGGAGUGAAAUAGAUCCUGAAACCGUGUGCCUACAACAAGUCAAAGCUCGUUAAUGAGUGAUGGCGUGCCUUUUGUAGAAUGAACCGGCGAGUUACGAUUGCAUGCGAGGUUAAGUCGAAGAGACGGAGCCGCAGCGAAAGCGAGUCUGAAUAGGGCGAAUGAGUAUGUAGUCGUAGACCCGAAACCAUGUGAUCUACCCAUGUCCAGGUUGAAGGUGCGGUAAAACGCACUGGAGGACCGAACCCACGUACGUUGAAAAGUGCGGGGAUGAGGUGUGGGUAGCGGAGAAAUUCCAAACGAACUUGGAGAUAGCUGGUUCUCUCCGAAAUAGCUUUAGGGCUAGCCUCGGAAUUGAGAAUGAUGGAGGUAGAGCACUGUUUGGACUAGGGGCCCAUCUCGGGUUACCGAAUUCAGAUAAACUCCGAAUGCCAUUCAUUUAUAUCCGGGAGUCAGACUGCGAGUGAUAAGAUCCGUAGUCGAAAGGGAAACAGCCCAGACCACCAGCUAAGGUCCCAAAAUAUAUGUUAAGUGGAAAAGGAUGUGGGGUUGCACAGACAACUAGGAUGUUGGCUUAGAAGCAGCCACCAUUUAAAGAGUGCGUAAUAGCUCACUAGUCGAGUGACCCUGCGCCGAAAAUGUACCGGGGCUAAACAUAUUACCGAAGCUGUGGACUACACCAUUAGGUGUAGUGGUAGGAGAGCGUUCUAAGGGCGUUGAAGGUCGAUCGUGAGGACGGCUGGAGCGCUUAGAAGUGAGAAUGCCGGUAUGAGUAGCGAAAGACAGGUGAGAAUCCUGUCCACCGUAUGACUAAGGUUUCCUGGGGAAGGCUCGUCCGCCCAGGGUUAGUCGGGACCUAAGCCGAGGCCGAUAGGCGUAGGCGAUGGACAACAGGUUGAUAUUCCUGUACCAGUUGUUUUUGUUUGAGCAAUGGAGGGACGCAGUAGGCUAAGGAAUGCAUGCGAUUGGAAGUGCAUGUCCAAGCAAUGAGUCUUGAGUAGAGUUAAAUGCUUUA